Non-coding RNA from Mus musculus (house mouse), 149 nucleotides. The record is from Rfam. Lineage: Eukaryota; Metazoa; Chordata; Mammalia; Rodentia; Muridae.
AUCGCUUCUCGGCCUUUUGGCUAAGAUCAAGUGUAGUAUCAAGUGCACAAGAGAGAGCAGGUUCAUUGCUCACUAAGUAUUUACAAGGCAAGGCUUCUGGGCCCAGCUAAAAAAGUAAACAGUUUCCAACUGAUAAUAUUUUCUUUAAU